UACGGAGGGGGCUAGCGUUGCUCGGAAUCACUGGGCGUAAAGCGCGCGUAGGCGGCCCUGUAAGUCCGUUGUGAAAGUCAAAGGCUCAACCUUUGAAUGCCGAUGGAUACUGCAGGGCUAGAGUCCGGAAGAGGCGAGUGGAAUUCCUGGUGUAGCGGUGGAAUGCGCAGAUAUCGGGAGGAACACCCGUAGCGAAGGCGGUUCUCUGGGCCAAUACUGACGCUGAGGAGCGAAAGCGUGGGGAGCAAACAGG
RNAcentral lists this ribosomal RNA (253 nucleotides) under uncultured bacterium. Its description in RNAcentral is "partial 16S ribosomal RNA". It matches the Rfam family "Bacterial small subunit ribosomal RNA", at positions 524 to 776 of the family's 1533-position model. The record is from RNAcentral.